Molecule: long non-coding RNA, 2759 nt
Organism: Mus musculus (house mouse)
Lineage: Eukaryota; Metazoa; Chordata; Mammalia; Rodentia; Muridae
Product: predicted gene, 40767
Exons: 3
Source: RefSeq, a predicted model, not a curated record
CUAUGAAAGGAAAGGAGGAGAAACACAUUUGAAUGGAAGGAAAAUACGAAGCAGGCUCACCAGAACCACCUUGCUGGGCAGUGUCCAGUGUCUAGAUGGUGACUCUGCUCAAUCUAGAUCUGUGUGGUGUGAGAUGGGUGUGAGCUCAGGCAAAGUGACAAUCUGCUUCUGGGAAGAACCAGGUGUAGCUGACCCUGAUGAUGAUGAUGACGACAAAGACCUGUAGAUGGUCAGCCCUGUGCCUGGGCUACCCACCUUUCUGUCUUCUGCACCAAUGUACCCAGAGAAUUGGCUUAUGAGAUGGUGAAGACUGGGGAAUGUCCUCAUCUGCCAUUCGGUAAACUGGAGACUCAGGAAAGUCAGCGGUAUGAGUUGAUCUGAUGGAAGCUUGAGAAGAUGAACUCCAACUCAUCAUAAAACCAAAUGGACACACCACAGGUUGAGGAACCAUUCACUUUAGGAUGUCUAUACUGCUUCUGCUUGUAGGCUACUAUGAAUAAUGCCACUGAACAUUAUUUUUAUGUUUUUAUGGGAACAUAGAUUUACAUUUCUCUGGAGUAAGUGCUGGAGUUAGAAGCACUGGGUUGCACUGUAACUCUGUGCUUGCUUUGUUUGUUUCCUUAUUUUUUCAUUAGAAAACAAGACUGUUGACAAGUUGCCAGCAUGGAUUCAUCAGUUUAUAUUCUCCCAGUGCUGUUGUGAGCCUUGAACAGUCUCUACACCCUUGUUGGCACUUGGUAUCCUUGAAGUGGAAACUUCUAGUUUCUUUGGAAAUUUAGUUAUGUCAAAGAUGUUUUUUUUGGGGGGAACACAAAGGUGAAAGGAUAUCUAUCUAUCUAUCUAUCUAUCUAUCUAUCUAUCUAUCCAUCCAUCCACUCAUCUAUAAUCUAUCUAUCUAUCUAUCUAUCAAUCAAUCUAUCAUUUAUCUAUUAUCUAUCUAUCUAUCUAUCUAUCUAUCUAUCUAUCUAUCUAUCUAUCUACCUACCUACCUAUCUAUCUAUCAAUUAUCUAUCUAUCUAUCAUCUAUCUAUCUAUCUAUCUAUCUAUCUAUCUAUCUAUCUAUCUAUCUCAGCAUUAUGUUCUGCAGGGUAACUGAGUGCACUAACAAUAACCUGUAAUUUGGGGUCUAUGGGAUCUGAUUAGCUAACAACUAAAAAGGAUAACCCAUUCCUGGUUCUAGGGUUUUGUUGAAGAUGACACGUACUUGCAUAACAUAAAAAAUCAAGCUGGUCUUACAUGGAAUCUUAUUUCUACUGACUAGCUUUCACAGUGUUAGGAGAUGCUCUACAGGCUACCAUAAGGAAAAGGUCUCACCCAGCUAUGAAGCCUGUGAGCAACAACAGGGAUUGACUUGAUAAGACAUGCCCAGUGGUGCAAUAUUGCUAUAAACAUUAUGUGAACAACUAACUACUUUCUGGUUGGGCCUAAAGCUUACUCCAUGAGAUAGAAGCCAUCCAUACUGCUAACAGGGACAAAAAAAAAAAAAGCAACACUAUUCUCCAGGUAAGUGGAAAUAGCACUAAAAUGACUCCUAAUGACUUAUUGCUACACCCAUAAAUGACAGCAUCCCUAAACCAUUCUUAAAGUAUGUUCUUUGGAGUGAAUGGCAAUUCACACAGAGAUCCUCAACUGUCCAGAGUGUGGAGAAUAAGAGGCUGUGAAGUGCUUAGCUCUAAAUGGAUGUACAUAUCACACCUCUCUGUAUGUGUGGAAGAGAGGUGAAAGGUUGUAAGAGCCAGAAGUGGUGGAUAACGUCAAGGAAACAGUGUUUUCUGGGUAGGCUACGCACAUGCGCAUAUCAUCUUACAAUGCAAUUGUGAUGUCAUGCACACAUGAAAGCUCAAGCCAGACAAGAAUCUCGAUAUGGAGUUGAGGGUGGGUUGGUUAGGAGAUUGUAUCACCAACCAAAGAGCAAUUAGCAUUUCAUAACUGUUCAGAGAGAGUGAAUCAGUUUUCUUUAGUGAUGUGAUCCUGGUGGAUACUGCAUACUUUAGGGCUGGCUUCAUUCCCAAGAAUGGUUGGGCAGCACAAAUUGGACUUGGUGAAUUUUUAAAAAUGGAGAAAAGUCUAAGUUUGGGGGUAGGGAGAUGGGGUUGAUAGGGAGGAAUUGGGGCAUGAAUAUGAUAAAAAUUUGUUGUAUGAAAUUCUCAAAAAUUAAUAAAAUGUUAUUUAAAAUGUGAUUUAUGUUAAGACAAAAAUGAGAAAAUAUUAUAUCAGUUACAACAACCUUUCUUACUCUUUUUACUUUGGGGUUUUCUUAGCCGUUCUAGUUUGUACUUUUGAUAAGUCUUUUGGAAUAAGCUUGCUGAUCCUUCAAGAAAAUUCCUGCUUGACUUUUGAUAGGAAUUGCUUUAAUCCUGUAAAGUGACUGGAGGAGGAUUGAAAUCUUUGCUAUGCGGAGUCUUCAAACCUAUAAACAUGGUACUUCUUUUUAGUUUGGUCUUCACUGAUUUCUUUCACCAGAAUUUACAGUUUUCUGUAUUCGGGUAGUGUGUAAGCUUUGCAAACAUAGAUGUAAGCAUCUCAUUUCCUUUCCUUGCAUUGACUGUAAAUGUGAUUUAAUUUUGAUUUCUGUAUGUUUUACGGUUAAUAUAUAGAAAUGCCCUAGCAUUUAAAAGCACAAGAUUCAAUGUCCAGCAUGCAAAAAAUUGAGCAUAGUGACAUAUACCUUUAAUUAUGACACGAAGAAGGUAGAGGCAGGAGGAACUGAACUUCAGGUUACCCUGGACUAGAUUAGAAUGCACCUAUCUAUCAUCUAU